AGCUCCAAUAGUGUAUAUUAAAGUUGUUGCAGUUAAAAAGCUCGUAGUUGAAUUUCGGAACUCUAUCCGUCGGUCGGGCUUAACUGUUCGCACUGUUCCUACCUUCUGAAUAACUGGCAUGCCAUUAAUUUGGUGCGCCGGGGAAGCAGGGCUAUUACCUUGAAAAAAUUAGAGUGCUUAAAGCAGGCUAUCGCCUGAAUACAUUAGCAAUGGAAUAAUGAAAUGGUUCUAUUUUGUUGGUUUCUAGGAUCACCGUAAUGAUUAAUAGGGAUAGUUGGGGGCAUUAGUAUUCAAUUGUCAGAGGUGAAAUUCUUGGAUUUAUUGAAGACUAACUUCUGCGAAGGCAUUUACCAAGGAUCUUUUCAUUAAUCAAGAACGAAAGUUAAGGGAUCGAAGACGAUCAGAUACCGUCGUAGUCUUAACCAUAACCUAUGCCGACUAGGGAUC
This 447-nucleotide ribosomal RNA is filed under the name uncultured Acaulospora. RNAcentral describes it as "SSU rRNA". It matches the Rfam family "Eukaryotic small subunit ribosomal RNA", at positions 587 to 1054 of the family's 1831-position model. The record is from RNAcentral. Lineage: Eukaryota; Fungi; Glomeromycota; Glomeromycetes; Diversisporales; Acaulosporaceae.